UAACAUGUUAAUAUGUGAAGAAUAAAUAUAUUUAAGAAUAAUUAUAUUGCUUGUAUUUUGGUUGCAGUUAAGGAGGACAUUGUAGUGUGUAUUAGCUGUUCAAGUGGACAUGGACAACAGGACAGAUUUGACAUUAUAAUAUGUGUACGUUUUUAGUCCGAUUAAGUAGGUCAGAGAGGUGUGUGCGGUGAAGCACGGCGGUUGGGGUUCCACCUUGGCCUAAUUUUGAGCCUGGAAAAACCCUGCAUCUUACUAUACUUGCUCAGGGACUAUUUCUUGUUCACAAAAACUGAAAACACAAAAAUACAGUAUAUUAUGACAUUCUAGCAUGUAGUGUUACCAAUACCAUGGUUGUUAAUGUUGAUCAAUAAUUACGGAAAUGCCUGGAGCUCCUUACUGUAACCUUUGGCUGCCAUUACAGGCUAGCUUUGUAUUUGCUGUAUAGGAUGGCUUGACACCAUCCUGUGGCCCAACAAGUGUAACUACAGUAACCUUUAACGUGUGUUUAUUUCAUCCCACAGACUAAUCAGAGUGCCCAUAGAAAAUAAGUUCUGGUAUGUGUGAGGUGGUGUGGUAAAUGGCCAAUAUACCACGUCUGAGUGCUGGUGUUAUGUACGACGCAUUGCGGAGGGCCUGGAUACAGCACUUAACUGUGGUAUAUUGGCUGAAAACCACGUGCCUCCAAGAUGAAUACUGUUAUUGAAAAACUCUUCACAGCCAAUCAGCAUGUAGGGUCUCAUACCUCUUGGUUUGUAAUUUCUGAUAUACUACCACAGCUAUCAGACAAUUAGCUCCCAGGUGCCAUUUUUACAUUUUAGUCAUUUAGCUAACGCCCUUUCCUAGAGCGACUUACCACAGUGAGUGCAUACAUUUCUGACCCAAAUUGUAAAUGAACUUGCCUGAAAUUUUGAUCUCAGCCUCUGUUGUAUGAUUGUUCUGUUGGAGAUGGAUUCUGCUGAGGAACCUGUAGGUAUCUCUCUUCACAACAACGUCCCCUGUCACAGUAUAAAGGCCCUCAACAACAGUGUAGCUAAAUUUUUACCAGCUUAAUUGAUGAAGAAAUUAUAAAGGAACACCUGUCCAUGAAACAGCUUUUGAGUCAAUUGCCCAAUUACAUUUGGUUCCUUGAAAAAGAGGCUGCUACAUAUUAAAGAGCUGUAAUUCCUGAACCCUACCUCCAAUUUGGAUGUGAAUACCUCAAAUUAAAGCUGAGAGACUGCACUUCAAGCACAUACUUAUUAUUUAACUGUGACCUGAAUAUAUAUUUGGUAAACAGACAAAAUAACAAAACUGUGUCCAAUUAUUUCCGGACCUAAACUGUAUGUGUUCAUCAUCUAUUGUAUUUGUGUGUCAACAUUGUGUAGAACUCAGUGAUCUGGCAUGCCUGCAAUUCUUUUAACAAAUUACAUCUCAACAAUCUCCAGAUUUUGACAGUCACAUUGUUUCGGGAUACAUUUUUUUUUUAAAGACAUUAACAUUCCCCCGAAAUUGGAAACCCUAGUUUUUUGCAUCGCACGUGAUUGAAUUACAACCCAAACUUUCGGGACAUUCCUCUUCUUUGGGGUAGCUAUGGAUUUGGUACACAAUGCCGACGGUCACGUCUGGACAGGUCAACAAAAGCAAAAGUGAUAUUUAACUGACUUGUUUUCUGUAGUCACUCAGUAGGUCCUUCACAGGAAUUAUGUUCUGACUUCUAACCUCUGGUCAAGUCCUAAUCCUGACAGUUUAAUGUGGGUCAACGGGUUAACUGUUACUGGCAGGAGGAUAGCAGCACUUUCUCUUGGACUGAUGUUGUCAGACUUGAUAGUUAGAGGUAGUGCAGGAAAGGUCCUGUCCUGGCCCGAGGAGACAGCGACGUUUCCAUGUAACUACAGCUACGAGGACCGACAGAACAUUACCCAGCUGUCCAUACAGUGGAGAGGACCUGGAAACAAACUCCUGUGUCACUACAUCAAACACAAGGCCUUCCUGAACUGCAGCCAGGGUUACUCACUGGACUAUAAACCAAAGAAGAUCACUCUUACCAUCACAGAAGUUCGGACAGAAGACUUUGGGUCUCAUGUUUGUACCGUGAGCAAGAGACAUGAGUUCUCUGACUGUAACAUUGAGCUAGCCAUGAAAACAGAUCCGAUCACUUCCUUUCCUACAAACAGGUGGGAUCGAACAGUGCUUCCUGAACGUCAUCUUGUUGUCCUUGCCUGCUCAGUGUUUGUCAGCACCUGGGGCUUAUGGUAGAAAUAAUAAAAUAUCUAUGAAUCUAGAAAUAUGUUAUUGAACAUAACAGAUUGAUAUGUCAUGUUUCAUAAAAAUGUUAUAUUUUAAAAUGGCAAAGAAUACAAGCUUUCUACAUGUAUGCAACAGACUCAUG
Molecule: long non-coding RNA, 2368 nt
Organism: Esox lucius (northern pike)
Lineage: Eukaryota; Metazoa; Chordata; Actinopteri; Esociformes; Esocidae
Source: Ensembl